UUGAAACAGAAAAGAUAAAAAGAAGUAACUUCAUUUUUUGAAAACCCAAUUAAAGUUCCAUGAGUCCGAAUGAUGUAAUGAAAAAUAGCAUCUAUUUAUUAUUUACUGAAAACAUUUUUUGAUUUAAAUCAAAUUUCAACCCCAUAUUUUUGAAUUGUCGCAUUAUGUUGUAUUUUGAUACACUUAGCUUUUGAUUUUAUCAACAUCCGUA
Molecule: non-coding RNA, 211 nt
Organism: Caenorhabditis elegans
Lineage: Eukaryota; Metazoa; Nematoda; Chromadorea; Rhabditida; Rhabditidae
Source: Ensembl